GGACCAAGGAGUCUAGCAUGUGCGCAAGUCAUUGGGAUAAUAAUAAACCUAAAGGCGUAAUGAAAGUGAAUUAUAUUAUAAAUAUAGAUAUAUAUUUAUAUGUGUUAUAUAUUAUUAUAUUAAGGGAAGAUGGGUAAUGAAUUUUAUAUUAGCCUCGCAUUCCCGGGGCGUCUUUUACUCAUUGCGAGUUAGGCGCACCAAGAGCGUACACGCUGGGACCC
This 221-nucleotide ribosomal RNA is filed under the name Percosoma carenoides. RNAcentral's name for it is "partial 28S ribosomal RNA". It matches the Rfam family "Eukaryotic large subunit ribosomal RNA", at positions 663 to 817 of the family's 3401-position model. Lineage: Eukaryota; Metazoa; Arthropoda; Insecta; Coleoptera; Carabidae. The record is from RNAcentral.